AUGGAUCGUCUUUUUCUGACUGUGUUCCUCUGUGUUAGCUUGGUGCCGCUUGUUCUCAGCGCAGAUUAUGACUACGUCGUAGGUGGAAAAAACGGCCCUGGAAAUUGGACAGGUAUAUGCGCAACCGGAAAGAAGCAAUCA
Molecule: long non-coding RNA, 141 nt
Organism: Stylophora pistillata
Lineage: Eukaryota; Metazoa; Cnidaria; Anthozoa; Scleractinia; Pocilloporidae
Source: RefSeq, a predicted model, not a curated record